CGGCGGCGAUCUCCGGAGCUCGACGUAUUGCCUCUGCGCGCAACGCGCCGUGACCGUGCCGUGGUGAUGCAGCACUAAAGCGCGCAUGAUGUUCCUGCGUCUCUCUGUUCUGCCGGAUUUGACUCGGAUGGCGCGCUGGGCGAGCAGCUCUACCAUCGUCUGAUGAGAACAUUUUUUUUUUUGAAAGACCGUCUGAUGAGAGCAUAAAGGUACCACUCCAUUUCUAUAUAUUAAACGCGCACCGCUCGGCGCUCUCUCAUGGUGGCCACGACAGCAAAAAAGAUUUACAGCGUUCGAUGGUGAAUCUACGGUUCACUUUCACUCCACCCGUGUGUUACUGUUCCAGUAAAUAUCUCCGCGUCGAGAGCUUUCUUCUUCCUCCCCGAUGGCUCUCCGGUCUCCGGUCUCUGCAACUGCGAUGUCCGCGGCGAUAGCCGCCUUCCCCUGCGUCCCGUCCCUACGCCCCUCCCUGGCACGAGAGUUUUCUUCUUCCUCCCCGACGGCUCUCCAGUCUCCGGUCCCCGCAACUGCGAUGCCCGCGGCGAUAGCCACCUUCCCAUGCGUCCCGUCCCUACGCCCCUCCCCGGCACCGGCGUCUCCGCUUCUCCCACGCCCUCCCCACCUUGUCUCCUUCCUCCUGCGCCCGCGCGCUCUCCCCCGCCGUGUCGCCCCGGGCCCUACGUCUUCAGCCGCGUCGCGCCUCCACUGGAUGUGGGGCGAGUUUGUGCGGUUCAUACGCCGGCACGGAAACCAGAUCGCGCCGGUCGUGCUCGCAUCCGUCGGGCUGGCUUCGGCAGGGGCGAGAGCGGAGGGGGUACGUUGUGGGCGGAGGGGAUAUGUGAGGUGGAUGUCUGGAGGAGACCUCGGCGCGGGCUGAGUUACCCCAUGCCGUUCCUAUGGAAGCGCUCGAUGCCGGCGCCUGAGGCAUGCUGCGGCCGGCACGGUACCGGCAUGGAUGGCGGAGCUGAAGCUCCCGGCCACCGAGAUCAGGCCGCUGCGGCACGCGUCCUUAAGGUUCAAGUCGAGGACCAACAUCGCCGACGGCGGGUCUUGUGGGAGGUCAUCAUUUCCUUUCUAUUUCUUCUCUCUUUCCUGUAUCCUGUCCGACCCUUCACGCUCAUCGCCAGCGCUAUUUCCUCUCCGCUACUUGCUCUCCCUCAGCUCUUCUCUUUCUCCCUCUAGUUAAAACGCAAAUCUUUGAAUCGAACAGACCCCUGCUAGCUCAACCCCAUUCAACACGAGUCGUUCCAGGUACGCAACUGUAGCACCAGUCCUUUUCCCUCUCUACUUCUAAUUCUGUUUAAUCCUAUCAGAUACGUUGUAUCUCUUCUCUCUUCCAUAGGUCAAUUAGAAAUCUAGAUCUAUUAAUUUCAUUCAUAAUUCUAGAUCUACUAAUUUCUCUUCCCUAUGAUCAUUCAGAGAGGCGUUUAGCUCUAGGACUACUGAGCUCAGCAUCAUACUAAUAUCUCAAUUUAACAAAUUACAGUAUAAGUUUGUACAUUUUUUUUUCCUUAAGUGCACAAGACAGGAGAAAUUCAAAGGGGAUACUAAGGUAUUUCGUUUCUGAUUAAUUGACUACCUAGACUUUUGAGGUGCCUACAGGCUACCAGGCUGCCAUUCUGGACCUUUCAUUGCCGUGGUCACUACUAGAUCAGGUACGAGGAUGGUCCUAGGUGCAUGAAGGGCUCAUGUUCACUUCGGUGAGGGGUUCAGGGCAUGAAAUGUCGUUGUUUCGACCUAAAAAGGCGCACAACAGUCUACUCUUGCACUUGAGCAGGAAAUUGCUCUCCUUCGUCAGUUUGAAUAUGAAAAUAUAGUACAUUCAAUCAGGUAACAAAGAAGGCCGGAAAGAAGAGUAUCCUAUUAAUGGACAGGUAAAGAACUUAGUUUUGAGAUGCUUUUUCAUUUUUGAACCAUGCAAGAGCAACUACAAUGUGCAUUGUUUAGUCCUAUUGUUGAUUCAACGGUGUCUUCAUCAUAUUCGCAAACUAAAUUAAUAUCCAUUUCUGAGAUUUGGAAGAAUAGUAGGCCACCAAAUGAGCAAUUGCGAAUUCAAAUAAUUCUGUUCAGCACAAUAAUUUGCAUUAACUUGGGAAUUUGAGCAUGUUGCAGAAAUAUUUCGACCGGCACUUCUCUCUCUCUCUAUAUAUAUCACACACCCUCAUAUGGUAUUACAUAUAAAUUCAACCAACAAUACAUACAUUUGAACUCUAUUGUUUACUUCCGUUCUAAUGACCUCUAUGUCCAGAUAAGUACAUCCUAACAACGGAUGGGAAAACACAACCAAUGCAGCAACAGGUAAGUCAAAGGGGAAAAAGAAACAAAAUAUCUAUUAAAUUCCACGUAUUUAUUUGAUGAAUAGGGAUUGCAUGCCAGGCCAGCAGCUGGUAAAUUUCAUCCACGAGCAUAAAAACAAGGUGAGUGCCACAUUAUAUUUCCAGAUGGGUGGCUGAACUGAACUCCGGUGAUUGUUCAUGGAGCCAUACAUCUGUUGAAUACUUUUUCACACAUAGCAGAUAGGCUUCUCUCUUGAGUUAUUUUAGCAAUACCCAUAGUCUGUCAUUGCCUGGCACUAUAACUUACCAAAAGGUAAUUCUAUUCUUGUGAUUUUUCCCUGUAUAGAAUUGUUUGGGGGCAGCAUGUCUGUAUACUCACAUCAAGCAUACAGGAAUUAUACUAAAGGUUCCGUUCUAAAAUUUUGUAGCAUCUUGAUUAUGGAUUGGUUGUGUACCCAAUAUUGGUUCUUGCUCUAACUCCUGAGCUUGCACAACAAAUUGAGAAGAUCGUGUGCAUCGAGGGGAUCCUUCUUACAUGCCACAUGGCCAGGCUUUGCAGCAAAGGGUGCCAUUGGUGCUGGUUGGUUGCAGUGCUGAAGCAGAAAAUGGCAAGAUAAUGAUCCAACAUUUGGUCAUCGAAUGCCUGAAUACGACUCCCUAGCUACCCAAUCAACUAUCAAGAGUCAUCAAGAACUGUAUGAAAUGAGUGAAGGAAGCUUUAACGAUCAUAAUGAUCAAUCAGAUGGUCAUGACAAUGGAACGACAAGGGACUCAUUCUAGGAAAUGUGUACAUGCCCCAAUUUGAGGUUUUUGCAUCUGUUGCCACUGAAGAGAAGGCUUGAUAAUGGCAUCCAUUUGUAUUACAUUUUAGGCAUGACAAGCUUUUCCGUUUUAUUUGUUUGCGGCAUUAAUUGUGAUUAGUAACAGAUCUCAAUGAUGUUUUAGACUACAGAAUUUAUGCGUUCAUUUGCUCUCUUCAGCUUUUUGCCGUUGAUUUUAUCCGCUUCUCCCUAAUCUAUCUUACAUAUUUAAGGAGAUGCUAAUAAUGGAUUAUUAUUUACUACCUAUA
Panicum virgatum (switchgrass) is the source of this 3345-nucleotide RNA transcript. RefSeq lists it as uncharacterized. The transcript has 9 exons. The record is from RefSeq and is a predicted model, not a curated record. NCBI's taxonomy places the organism in Eukaryota, Viridiplantae, Streptophyta, Magnoliopsida, Poales, Poaceae.